RNAcentral lists this ribosomal RNA (253 nucleotides) under uncultured bacterium. RNAcentral describes it as "partial 16S ribosomal RNA". It matches the Rfam family "Bacterial small subunit ribosomal RNA", at positions 524 to 776 of the family's 1533-position model. The record is from RNAcentral.
AACGUAGGACGCAAGCGUUAUCCGGAGUUACUGGGCGUAAAGCGCGGGCAGGCGGUUCUGCCAGUCUGAUGUGAAAUCUCCCCGCUCAACGGGGAGCAGCCAUUGGAAACUACAGAACUGGAGUCUGACAGAGGUAGGCGGAAUUCCGGGUGGAGUGGUGAAAUGCGUAGAGAUCCGGAGGAACACCAGAGGCGAAGGCGGCCCACUGGGUCAGUACUGACGCUGAGCCGCGAAAGCCAGGGGAGCGAACGGG